GCUUGUCUCAAAGAUUAAGCCAUGCAUGUCUAAGUAUAAGCCUUUAUAUGGUGAGACUGCGAAUGGCUCAUUAAAUCAGAAACUGUUUAUUUGAUAGUGCCUACUACAUGGAUACCUGUAGUAAUUCUAGAGCUAAUACGUGCAACAAACCCCGACUUCUGGAAGGGACGCAUUUAUUAGAUAAAAGGUCGACGCGGGCUCUGCCCGUUGCUGCGAUGAUUCAUGAUAACUCGACGGAUCGCACGGCCCUCGUGCCGGCGACGCAUCAUUCAAAUUUCUGCCCUAUCAACUUUCGAUGGUAGGAUAGUGGCCUACUAUGGUGGUGACGGGUGACGGAGAAUUAGGGUUCGAUUCCGGAGAGGGAGCCUGAGAAACGGCUACCACAUCCAAGGAAGGCAGCAGG
This 403-nucleotide ribosomal RNA is filed under the name Ehretia acuminata. Its description in RNAcentral is "partial small subunit ribosomal RNA". It matches the Rfam family "Eukaryotic small subunit ribosomal RNA", at positions 30 to 432 of the family's 1831-position model. Lineage: Eukaryota; Viridiplantae; Streptophyta; Magnoliopsida; Boraginales; Ehretiaceae. The record is from RNAcentral.